UCUGCACUUAUGUAAAAAGGAACUAAACGGAAUAAAAUGAAUUGAAACUUAAAAUAACCAAAUGUAGCUACAUUCGCUCCUUUCCGUUUACUUCUUUAGAGUUAUUUGUAAACAACAUAUUAUUAAGUAAUAGAAGAAAAGAACCAAUUGAAUGAUGUUGACGAAUUAGGGUUUAACGUCCAGUGACAAAUAUCAUGUUCGUAUGUGAACGAGAAC
Molecule: long non-coding RNA, 216 nt
Filed under: Mytilus galloprovincialis (Mediterranean mussel)
Lineage: Eukaryota; Metazoa; Mollusca; Bivalvia; Mytilida; Mytilidae
Source: RNAcentral